Molecule: ribosomal RNA, 468 nt
Filed under: uncultured bacterium
Lineage: Bacteria
Description: partial 16S ribosomal RNA
Rfam family: Bacterial small subunit ribosomal RNA
Source: RNAcentral
GACGAACGCUGGCGGCGUGCUUAACACAUGCAAGUCGAACGGAAAGGCCCUGCUUUUGUGGGGUGCUCGAGUGGCGAACUGGUGAGUAACACUUGAGUAACCUGCCCUUGACUUUGGGAUAACUUCAGGAAACUGGGGCUAAUACCGGAUAGGAGCUCCUGCUGCAUGGUGGGGGUUGGAAAGUUUCGGCGGUUGGUGAUGGACUCGCGGCUUAUCAGCUUGUUGGUGGGGUAGUGGCUUACCAAGGCUUUGACGGGUAGCCGGCCUGAGAGGGUGACCGGACAAAUUGGGACUGAGAUACGGCCCAGACUACUACGGGAGGCAGCAGUGGAGAAUAUUGCACAAUGGGCGGAAGCCUGAUGCAGCAACGCAGCGUGCGGGAUGACGGCAUUCGGGUUGUAAACCGCUGUCGCCUGUGACGAAGCGUGAGUGACGGUAAUGGGUAAAGAAGCACCGGCUAACUACGUG